Syzygium oleosum is the source of this 2053-nucleotide RNA transcript. RefSeq lists it as uncharacterized. NCBI's taxonomy places the organism in Eukaryota, Viridiplantae, Streptophyta, Magnoliopsida, Myrtales, Myrtaceae. The transcript has 5 exons. The record is from RefSeq and is a predicted model, not a curated record.
UCAGAUCUUCUACCUAAUGGGGGAAUUGAAAAGGCAAUGCUUUUAGAGAAGAAAAGCUAAUGUUCCAUACGUACACAAAGUUGAAUUCCCAGGAGAAAGACUUACCCUUUUGUCGAAGUUCCUAGCUAGUCUUCAAUUCCAUUUGCAAAAGGGCCUGUCCAUGCUUAUAAAGAAGCUCAGAUACGUACAUAUAGAAGCUCAUCUUCUUGGGCUAGUGUGUUUGUUUGUCCCUCGUUAAAUGGCCGAGCGGGAGAGCCUGAGUUGCUUUCUCAUUCUGAUUGUUCUGGUCGUGGGUUCGGAGAUUCAUUGGGUUUCGUCCACCAGCACCGAUGAGACGGAGUAUGUGUCAGCUGUUGGCGACCCAGGAAUGAGGCGAGAUGCGCUGAGGGUGGGAAUAGAGUCAUGGAACCAAUGCAAUGAGGUCGGUGAGGAAGCUCCUCACAUGGGAAGCCCGAGAGCUGCUGAUUGCUUUGACAUUUACCGAGCCAUUCCUAAUAGAGAUGAAAAGAAUUGCUCCUUGUGCAAAUUGCUGCCCUACAUACUGGUCCACAGGGUCACGGAGGUAGACAACAGGCUUGGAGUUGGAGACCCCUUCCCAGGACUCCAUGCCGAAGCCCUGUUAAAUGCAGACCUCUACGCCGCGCUCAAGGAGCUCUACUUGGGCGCGAAAUGCCAGGUCGAGGACACCCCGAACCCAUGGCAGUUCUGGAUGAUCAUGCUCAAGAACGGCAACAUGGACACAUUUGCCUCCAGGUGCCCGAAAAACGGGCACAAGGUUGGACCCUUUGGCCCCGACACCGCCUUCCCUUGCUUUGGCAAGGGAUGCAUGAACCAGCCGCUGAUGUACCAUGACUACACAACUUUGCAAGGCCCUAAUUUGACUACUCUUAAGGGAAGGUUUCAUGGGUCAUGGGACUUGGAUGGUGUUUUCAGUGGCAUUGGUAAUAAUAAUUCAUAUUAUUCUGUGACAUGGGAGAAGGAAAUUGGGAAGGGCAAGAGUUGGGCAUUUCAUCAUGUCUUGAGGACUUCAAAGAAGUAUCCAUGGUUGAUGCUUUACCUGAGAUCAGAUGCCACCAGCGGGCUCUCUGGUGGGUAUCACUACCCCACCAGAGGAAUGUCCAAAAUUAUCCCAGAAUCACCAAACUUCAAAGUGAGGUUCACUCUCAAUGUGCUCCAAGGUGGGGGUCCAAACAGCCAAUUCUACCUAAUUGACAUCGGAAGCUGUUGGAAGAACAGUGGCCAACCUUGCAAUGGUGACGUGACCUCUGAUGUCACCAGGUACAGUGAGAUGAUCCUGAACCCCAACACCAGCGCCUGGUGCCGCCCAGACAACCUCGGUGUGUGCCCCCCUUACCACACCUUCCGGAGUGGAACCCGGGUCCACCGCAACGACACAGCCCGGUUCCCCUAUGCCGCAUACCAUCUGCACUGCUCACCAGGGAAUGCCGAGCGCCUUGAGGAGCCCUACAGCUUGUGCGACCCUUACAGUAACCCCCAGACCCAGGAGAUCCUGCAGAUUCUGCCGCACCCUGUGUGGGGCGAGUACGGGUACCCGACAAGGCAAGGGGAGGGUUGGAUUGGAGACCCUAGGACAUGGGAAUUGGAUACUGGGAGGUUGUCUCAAUCACUUUACUUUUACCAGGAUCCAGGGACACCAAGUGCUAGGAGGCAAUGGAUGUCUAUAGAUUUGGGGACUGAAAUAUUCAAAGAUCCUGAUCAGGUUGCCGAAUGGAUCAUUAGUGAUUUUGAUAUUGUUGUGCCCAAGAAGAUGGUCAGAACAUAGUCUGCAUUUUCUGUCCUUUUUCCUUUUUCGAGAGUGAGAAAAACUGAAGGGAACAGAGAAAGAGUUUCAACCCAAAGGGUUGUGUAACGUUGAGACCAAACCAGAGAAACACCGAACUUGCAAAUUAAUCUGACAGUUUCUUGGUGGAGUGUGUGAAAGAGGCUAGGAAUCUUCAGUCACUAAAGAAUCUGUGGCUGGUGCAAGAAAGUUUAUGCUUACAAAUCUGUAUUAAUUUGCCAAUAUCAGUUUUCAUUUACAUUAGUUUGCUCC